UACGUAGGGUGCAAGCGUUGUCCGGAAUUAUUGGGCGUAAAGAGCUCGUAGGCGGUUUGUCGCGUCUGCUGUGAAAACUCGGGGCUUAACCCCGGGCCUGCAGUGGGUACGGGCAGACUAGAGUGCGGUAGGGGAGACUGGAAUUCCUGGUGUAGCGGUGAAAUGCGCAGAUAUCAGGAAGAACACCUAUGGCGAAGGCAGCACUCUGGGACGGUACUGACGCUGGGACGCGAAAGCGUGGGGAGCGAACAGG
Molecule: ribosomal RNA, 253 nt
Filed under: uncultured bacterium
Lineage: Bacteria
Description: partial 16S ribosomal RNA
Rfam family: Bacterial small subunit ribosomal RNA
Source: RNAcentral